AGCUCCAAUAGCGUAUAUUAAAGUUGUUGCAGUUAAAAAGCUCGUAGUUGGGUGUCGGGCGGGGCGGCCGGGUGGCCCACUGGGCGGACUCGGGUGCCGCGCCCUGGGCGGGGGGCAGGGAGGCAUGUAUGUGUCCUCCCGGCCAGCCGCAGUUACCUUGAGGAAAGUAGAGUGUUCAAAGCAGGCGGAGUGGUCGCUUGGAUAUGCUAGCAUGGAAUAACAUGAGAGGACGCUGGUCCUAUUCAGUUGGUUUGAGGGCCAGAGUAAUGAUUGAUAGGGACGGUCGGGGGCAUUAGUAUUGCGCGGUCAGAGGUGAAAUUCUUGGAUUCGGGCAAGACUGGCGAGUGCGAAAGCAUCUGCCAAGGACGUUUUCA
Molecule: ribosomal RNA, 374 nt
Filed under: uncultured eukaryote
Lineage: Eukaryota
Description: SSU rRNA
Rfam family: Eukaryotic small subunit ribosomal RNA
Source: RNAcentral